Molecule: long non-coding RNA, 734 nt
Organism: Salvia miltiorrhiza (redroot sage)
Lineage: Eukaryota; Viridiplantae; Streptophyta; Magnoliopsida; Lamiales; Lamiaceae
Exons: 3
Source: RefSeq, a predicted model, not a curated record
GCUUGGGUUGCUUUUUGGGUAGUGUUUACAUUUUCCCUUGCACUCAUAGUGUGGGAGAAGUGAGCUCUAGAUGUACUACUGAUUGAAUUUGUUCGGGUGUUUGACACUGUUGUUUGUUGCAAAUUCGAAGUGGAGGCAUGUUUGAUUAGAUGGCACCAUUUGUUUUUCAUAAAAACUUCAAUUGGAUAUUGGGAUAGAAGUUGAGGUCUAGUUGUGAUUGCACUUUUGUAGCUAUUGAAGGAUGGAUUAUUCUGGUUACUGGAGUUCAUGAAGAGGCUCAAGAGGACGAUCUGCAAAACGCAUUUGGUGAUUUUGGAGAGAUAAAGAAUUUACACUUGAAUCUCGAUCGUCGUACUAUACGGGUUUUGUCAAGGGCUAUGCUCUAAUUGAAUUUGAGAAGUUUGAGGAGGCACAGAGAGCCAUAAAUGAGAUGAAUGGAACUGAACUCCUAACCCAGACCAUGAAUGUUGACUGGGCGUUCAGCAAAGGUCCAUUCAAAAGAAGGAACAUUAGGAGGAGAUCACCUCGGGGUCAUCAUUCCAGGAGUCCAAGGAGGAGAUUCUGAUCAUGGUGGCAUGUGAGAGUUUUUGGCACUUUGAUUUAGAGUGAAGAUACAAAUGUGAAUCUUUGUUAACUUUUAACAAUGUGUACGAUUGUUGUUUCUGUUGUCAGUUUUCGUUCAUUGACUUCAUUUCAGCUGUAUUAACGUAUUUAUGAGGCUUCUUUGGAUUGCU